Molecule: ribosomal RNA, 136 nt
Filed under: uncultured eukaryote
Lineage: Eukaryota
Description: partial 18S ribosomal RNA
Rfam family: Eukaryotic small subunit ribosomal RNA
Source: RNAcentral
UGGUGGAGUGAUUUGUCUGGUUAAUUCCGUUAACGAACGAGACCUUAACCUACUAAAUAGUUAUCUUAACAUUUGUUGAGAUUAACUUCUUAGAGGGACUUUGUACGCAAGUGCAAGGAAGUUUGAGGCAAUAACA